Molecule: transfer RNA, 72 nt
Filed under: Cacatua moluccensis (salmon-crested cockatoo)
Lineage: Eukaryota; Metazoa; Chordata; Aves; Psittaciformes; Cacatuidae
Also listed under: 2 other names
Description: tRNA-Val
Source: RNAcentral
CGAGGCGUAGCUACAAUACAAAGCAUUCAGCUUACACCUGAAAGAUAUCUGCCAAGUACCAGAUCACCUCGA